GAUGUCCUGGGCAGAGGGCCUGAGGGCAUCAGGACUUGGAAGCUGAGAGUCUGAGUCAAAGCCAGGACUGAAACAGGGAGGGGCAGGCUGGGCUCGGCUGAGCACCAGGCAGGGAAUCCAUGCUGACCAGGGCAGGGCUGAGAACAGCUGCAGGGCCUGCUGCUUCUCUGCAGCCUGGACUUUCUGGGAGUGCUUCCAACCAGAGGCAGAUGCUGUCCUGGCCGCAGCAGCUGGGGAGCCCCACCCAGCCCAUGCUCUAAGGGGAGCACCUCCCUUGCUGGCACAGUGUGGGUCAGCCUGGACCACAGGCAGGAGUGUGAUGUCCAUGCGGUGACUGAAGGCAAAUGCGUGUUGGUGGGGGGUGGUGAGAGGCAGCAAGGGAAGCAGAUGGAGCCAGGAGAGUGUGUUGUGCUGUGAGCAGCUGAGGGCCUCGGGCAGGAGGGGUCUGGAGCUGAGGGAGGGGCUCACCUGGAUCCGGCUCACAUUCCAAGUAGAGGUCCUCAUCAGGUUUCUUUGGAGGGCCUGGCACCUAAGGGAUAUUUCCUGGCCCUCCCUAGGCCCCACCCCACCCCUGCCAGUUUCUUAACCAGAAGCCUGGAAACUGAGGUGGAAAUGGAGGGGCUGCUCACCACUCUGGACGAUGCACCCUGCUCUGAAAGGAAAAGGAGAGAACCACCUGUCAUGCACGGCAGGGAGCAGAAAGGAAUUCAGCGGGACUGAGGCUGAAAAAGCAGAGUCUCCUUAGGGUGCCUCCGAGGAGGACAUCUCAGAGCCAGCUUUGAAGCCCCAGGAGAAAGCUUUUCUCAUCCCCUGAUGGUUCUCUGCACAGCCCUAUGGUGUCACCUUUCCUGACCUCCCAACUGACUUGGCAGGCCUGGCUCCAAAUGACUUUGGACUGUUCAAAAAAUCAUAGCAGCUGGGCACAGUGGCUCAUGCCUGUAAUUCCCAGCACUUUGGGAGGCUGAGGCGGGCAGAUCACUUGAGGUGAGGAGUUCGAGGCCAGCCUGGCCAACAUGGUGAAAUCUUGUCUCUACUAAAAAUACAAAAAUUCGGCCGGGCGCGGUGGCUCACGCCUGUAAUCCCA
Molecule: long non-coding RNA, 1084 nt
Filed under: Homo sapiens (human)
Lineage: Eukaryota; Metazoa; Chordata; Mammalia; Primates; Hominidae
Description: HSALNT0034991
Source: RNAcentral